AAAGCUGAAAAAAAAGUCGUUUAUUCUUUGAUCUCUGUGAUUUGAAUUGAAUUUUGCGCCAAAGAACAGCUCAUCGUGAAAAAAUGACGAGAAAUUGUGAAAUUAUUAAUGGAUUGAAGCAAAGAAUUGUAAAUUUACGAUUAGUUCGGUAUGAUCGUAUAAAAAAAUUAUAGGAUUUAUGGUUAUAAAAUUUUUAUCAAUUCUGCCUAGUCGUUAUUCCUUGAUUUAUAACUAUAUAACAAAAUUUCUGUCUGUAUAUCAUAUUCCGCUUCUUACAACAGAGUGAUGUUUUAUGAGUAAUUUAUGAAUGAGUUAUUGACAAAUACAUACAUGUAAUAUAAUAUAAAAGCUAAGAACAUUAAUCACGUGGCUUCUAAUUACGAUAAAUUGUUACAGUUUUUAUUCGAAUUGAAAAUAAUAAAGCUCUAACCUAUUAAUGUUUCUUUUUUAUUCAUUAAACGAUUACGCUAAAAUGAAAGAUUCAUAAAAUAGAAUCAACUAAUUAAACCUAACCUAAUUCAUUAAUUUUUAGUACAGAAUUUUUAGUAUAGAAAUGUGUUUAAUUAUUACAAUCAUCUCCGCUAUAACGAAGCGUAUUUAUAACCUAAAAAUGUUUCGACAAAAAUUUCUCCUCGAAAUAUCUUUGAAACUAAAAUCAAACAGCGAUAACACUUAAUAAAUAAAAACUUAUUCAGAUGAUUUCAAGAGCGAUAAUUGUUUGUACAUAUUGCACACAUGCUUGAAAGGAACAAAGGUGGAUAAAAGUAAAAGAAAGAAAAUCGGGCGAAGAAAGUUGCUCGGUAUCAGUGGCGGUGGGUCAGAAGAUAAGAAAGAGAAACUCUUUUUAUUCGGCCGGCCGACUAUCUCAUUAGAGAUCGGGAAACGAGGCGGAGGCGGGGCGCCUGCGAUAGGGCAACCGCCACGGAUGAACCGACCAGACCAGUCUGAGCUGGGGAGAAAUUCGGAAAAAGAAAGCCAAGAGGAAUCGGUCGUUAAUGGUCACCUAGACCGGAGAGCGGCUCGAGUUGCUCGAGUUUUUUGCCUGUGGAGCGAGCGGCUGUGCAAAAAAUACCGCGGUCUCGAGCGAGGGAUAGGAAAAGGGAAAUCAAGACCGUUUGACUCGAGUUGCCUGCUCGAUCCCGGCCACCUCGUUUGUGAUUUGGUCCGCGAUUUGAAACGGUGAUUUGGAUUGAAUUGAAGUAAAAAAAAAUUGGUAUAUCGAUCGAGGCUUGUUUUUAUUAUAUAGAUAUGAGAAGAUCAAGUAGACUGUUUUUUGGCUUUGGGUAAAAGUUGUAUCGUAAUUUUUAAUAAUUGGAAAAAAUGGAUCAAUUUUAUUUGAUUUGUAAUUAUAGUUUAAUUAUAAUUUAAGAAUUUAUUUUUAAUUACAAUGUUACAAUGCUUUUUUCAAAAAUAAUUUUUCCAUAUACAAAUUGCUCGUUAGCAAAAUUUGCAUUAAAAUAGAAUAAAGAAAAGAGGAUGAAUGAAAAAAAAAUGGAAUUAAACAUGAAUGACUUUCUAAGAGUGAUUAUCUAAUAUCUAAUCCAGUAUGAAGGCUAUGUCAAGGUUUCUAUAUAGAAAUGAAUAACAACACCUUGCAUCGCAUCUGAUCGUUCUACGCAUCCUCAAUGACGCACGUGUCGCCUCGAUAACGAAUCAAAAAACAAAACCAACGAUGUCGAACGGAUAUUCAAAGCGAUAAUUUCUCGGUUUUUUUUAUAGUUUCGUCAUCGAUUAUCGCGAAAUGGAGAAAUUUUUCCUUUUGGAAAUUACAUCGUGACAGCUCUAGCGAAACAAUGUUUGAUUGGUUGACAAACAACGAUUGAAACGCGCUAUUCAACACGUUUCGUUGAAUUUCUUUUUCGAGAAGUAAAAAAAUAUAGAGUUGACAAUUAUCUUCGUUAUUGAAUUUUUUUGAAUCGAAGAUUUCCUUUUCAAAUGCCAUUUGUCUAUAAAAAUUUGUAUAUUAUAUAGAUUAUAAAGAAGUUUAUAGUUUUCAUCGUUAAAAGCUAUUAUCAAAGGAAAUUAUAUUAAGAUAAAAUUGGAAUAUACUUUCUUCAACUUUCUUCGAUUUUUUAUUCGCCUCUAUCCAACGUGAAUAAUACUAGAAUCGAUCGAAAUCGACACGUAAAUCGCAUACGUAAUCGAUCCACAAUGGAUUCCUUGGGAUUCGAACACGAUCGAAACUUUCGAAAUCGGUUUGGAAAAUUGCCUCACCUUCAAUGACCGUAUAGGAACACCUCUAUGUGCAUUUACGGUUACGUAUACGUACACGUUCACAAUGUUGCAAUCCUUUGAAUUAAUAAUUCAACUACGGCGACUUUAUUCGAGAGGAAAAUCAAUAAUAACUUUGAUUUUAACUUUGAGAUUUAUUUAGAAGAGAUAUAAAAAAUGAAUAAACGAAUAUAAAUCAAUUUCAAA
Molecule: long non-coding RNA, 2418 nt
Organism: Apis cerana (Asiatic honeybee)
Lineage: Eukaryota; Metazoa; Arthropoda; Insecta; Hymenoptera; Apidae
Source: RefSeq, a predicted model, not a curated record